This is a long non-coding RNA of Oncorhynchus gorbuscha (pink salmon), 487 nucleotides long. RefSeq lists it as uncharacterized. The transcript is spliced from 3 exons. The record is from RefSeq and is a predicted model, not a curated record. NCBI's taxonomy places the organism in Eukaryota, Metazoa, Chordata, Actinopteri, Salmoniformes, Salmonidae.
UCCCCGGAGGAUCUGGGACGUGGCAGAACAGUAAACCCCAGUCAUCAGAUGGGAAUCAGGCAGGUUUAUAUCAACCCUUAUACGGUACAAUCAUUGAUCACACACCCAUAGUAUUCAUUACUCUUUGUGGCAGGAGAACAUUCUGUUUGUCCUCAGAUCCGUCUCGAAGGACCCAAGUGGACUACACGACAGGUCACCGGAUACCGGACAACUACAAAGAUGGACAACAGUAGAAGACUUGUUGGAACCCUUUUGGACAAUCAGAGCCUUACAAGCGCGCCGCGAAAAGGCCCAACUCCCUUUCCAAGGUGGCCCUGUCCACCGAGAGAGAUCCGGCUAACCCAGACAUUUCACUCUUUAGGUCAUCAGGCUACUGAUUAUCCCGCACACCUGUCACCAUCGUCAUGCACACCAGCACCUCAUGACACUCACCUGGACUCCAUCACCUUGAUUAUCUUCCCUAUAUCUGUCACUCCCCUUGGUUCUU